Long non-coding RNA from Ficedula albicollis (Collared flycatcher), 508 nucleotides. Lineage: Eukaryota; Metazoa; Chordata; Aves; Passeriformes; Muscicapidae. The record is from Ensembl.
GUUUUAUAUUAGGUUUUCUUUUUUUUUUUUUUUUGUUUAUUUACCCUUCUCCAAGGCAACUGGACAACUCAGAGAAAGAAGCAAACUUGGGAGUGUGUGUGAAGGGUGAAAAAGGAGCAGAUAAAGAACAGGCUUCUGCCUCAGGUAGAAAAGGUGUUGGUGCCCUGGGGAAUAUGAGAGAAGAAAUGUAAACAAGAGGCACAGUUGUGCAAAACCUUGGAACUGAAACAAGCAUGUAGCUCAUCUUUGAUGCCUCAGCAUGGAGUAGAAACACUGGGAGACCUUGAAAGCAGCCACAAAUUUAUAUUUGCAUCUAAGAGGGAGGUACCCUGUCAGUGCAGAACUUUCUGGAAGCUGCUUUUUUAGAGCCAUUAGUUCUUGAUGCUUGUAGGCUACACUAGGCCUUCAUUCAAAAAGGUAGGUCCCCAAGGAACAAAAAAAAUGCAUUUUUGUUACAUUUUGCUUCCCCAUGUGAUAUUUUGAACUGGUACAAUUGUGAGUGCCUGGA